AUUGAACGCUGGCGGCAUGCUUUACACAUGCAAGUCGAACGGUAGAGGGGCAACCCUUGAGAGUGGCGAACGGGUGAGUAAUGCAUCGGAACGUGCCCAGUAGUGGGGGAUAGCCCGGCGAAAGCCGGAUUAAUACCGCAUGAGACCUGAGGGUGAAAGCGGGGGAUCGCAAGACCUCGCGCUAUUGGAGCGGCCGAUGUCAGAUUAGCUAGUUGGUGGGGUAAAGGCCUACCAAGGCGACGAUCUGUAGCUGGUCUGAGAGGACGACCAGCCACACUGGGACUGAGACACGGCCCAGACUCCUACGGGAGGCAGCAGUGGGGAAUUUUGGACAAUGGGCGCAAGCCUGAUCCAGCCAUGCCGCGUGCGGGAAGAAGGCCUUCGGGUUGUAAACCGCUUUUGUCAGGGAAGAAAUCUUCUGGGCUAAUACCCUGGGAGGAUGACGGUACCUGAAGAAUAAGCACCGGCUAACUACGUGCCAGCAGCCGCGGUAA
This 494-nucleotide ribosomal RNA is filed under the name uncultured bacterium. Its description in RNAcentral is "partial 16S ribosomal RNA". It matches the Rfam family "Bacterial small subunit ribosomal RNA", at positions 29 to 523 of the family's 1533-position model. The record is from RNAcentral.